Molecule: long non-coding RNA, 162 nt
Organism: Drosophila subpulchrella
Lineage: Eukaryota; Metazoa; Arthropoda; Insecta; Diptera; Drosophilidae
Exons: 3
Source: RefSeq, a predicted model, not a curated record
UUAAGUUAAUAAAAUAAAGUCAGGUAUUCAAUGGGUUCCGUUAGCCGAAAGUGGAUGACGAAAUGUUUUGUGCCAACAAAAAUUCUGCAAAGGGUUAAACACAGCUAUCAAAGGAGCGUUGACCAAGGAUUCAGAGGACCCGGACAAAGGUUUAAGAACGGC